RNAcentral lists this ribosomal RNA (354 nucleotides) under uncultured bacterium. RNAcentral describes it as "bacterial SSU rRNA". It matches the Rfam family "Bacterial small subunit ribosomal RNA", at positions 917 to 1269 of the family's 1533-position model. The record is from RNAcentral.
GGACCCGCACAAGUAGUGGAGCAUGUGGUUUAAUUCGAAGAUACGCGCAGAACCUUACCAACACUUGACAUGUUCGUCGCGACUUUAAGAGAUUAAAGUUUUCGGUUCGGCCGGACGAAACACAGGUGCUGCAUGGCUGUCGUCAGCUCGUGUCGUGAGAUGUUGGUUAAGUCCCGCAACGAGCGCAACCCUCACUUUUAGUUGCCAUCAUUUAGUUGGGCACUCUGAAAGAACUGCCAGUGAUAAGCUGGAGGAAGGUGGGGAUGACGUCAAGUCCUCAUGGCCCUUACGUGUUGGGCUACACACGUGCUACAAUGGUAUCUACAACAGGAAGCAAAACAGCGAUGUUAAGCA